UACGGAGGGUGCGAGCGUUGUCCGGAAUCACUGGGCGUAAAGGGCGCGUAGGCGGCGCGGGCAGUCAACGGUGAAAGCUUGGGGCUCAACCCCGAGUCGGCCGUCGAUACUCCCGGGCUGGAGCACUGUAGAGGCAGGUGGAAUUCCGGGUGUAGCGGUGGAAUGCGUAGAGAUCCGGAAGUACACCGGUGGCGAAGGCGGCCUGCUGGGCAGUAGCUGACGCUGAGGCGCGACAGCGUGGGGAGCAAACAGG
Molecule: ribosomal RNA, 253 nt
Filed under: uncultured bacterium
Lineage: Bacteria
Description: partial 16S ribosomal RNA
Rfam family: Bacterial small subunit ribosomal RNA
Source: RNAcentral